RNAcentral lists this ribosomal RNA (1512 nucleotides) under uncultured bacterium. RNAcentral's name for it is "bacterial SSU rRNA". It matches the Rfam family "Bacterial small subunit ribosomal RNA". The record is from RNAcentral.
UAGAGUUGAUCCUGGCUCAGAAUCAACGCUGGCGGCGUGCCUCAGACAUGCAAGUCGAACGCGAAAGCUCCCUUCGGGGAGCAAGUAGAGUGGCGCACGGGUGAGUAACACGUAGGUAAUCUACCUUCGGAUGGGGAAUAACAACCGGAAACGGUUGCUAAUACCGCAUAAUGCAGCGGCACCUAAUGGUGACAGUUGUUAAAGCGGGGGAUCGCAAGACCUCGCGUCUGAAGAGGAGCCUGCGGCGGAUUAGCUAGUUGGUAAGGUAACGGCUUACCAAGGCUAUGAUCCGUAGCCGGCCUGAGAGGGCGGUCGGCCACACUGACACUGACAUACGGGUCAGACUCCUACGGGAGGCAGCAGUCGGGAAUUUUGGGCAAUGGGCGAAAGCCUGACCCAGCAACGCCGCGUGAAGGAUGAAAUCCCUCGGGAUGUAAACUUCGCAAGAACGGGAAGAAUAAGGAAGAGUUAAUAUCUCUUUCGAUGACAGUACUGUUUGUAAGCUCCGGCUAACUCCGUGCCAGCAGCCGCGGUAAUACGGGGGGAGCAAGCGUUGUACGGAUUUACUGGGCGUAAAGCGCGCGCAGGCGGCAGUGCAAGUAAGGUGUGAAAUCCCCGGGCUUAACCUGGGAACUGCGUUUGUGACUGGCGGGCUGGAGUGCGGCAGAGGGAGGUGGAAUUCCACGUGUAGCAGUGAAAUGCGUAGAUAUCUGGAGGAACACCGGUGGCGAAGGCGGCAUCCUGGACCGGUAUUGACGCUGAGGCGCGAAAGCCAGGGGAGCAAACGGGAUUAGAUACCCCGGUAGUCCUGGCCCUAAACGAUGAAUGCUUGGUGUGGCGGGUAUCGAUCCCUGCCGUGCCGAAGCUAACGCAUUAAGCACCCCGCCUGGGGAGUACGGUCGCAAGAUUAAAACUCAAAGGAAUUGACGGGGGCCCGCACAAGCGGUGGAGCAUGUGGUUUAAUUCGAGGCAACGCGAAGAACCUUACCAGCCCUUGACUUCCCGAUCGGGGCUCCAGAGACGGAGCUCUUCAAUUGGUCGGUGACAGGUGCUGCAUGGCUGUCGUCAGCUCGUGUCGUGAGAUGUUGGGUUAAGUCCCGCAACGAGCGCAACCCUUGCCAUUAGUUGCCAUCAUUUAGUUGGGCACUCUAGUGGGACUGCCGGUGAUAAGCCGGAGGAAGGUGGGGAUGACGUCAAGUCCUCAUGGCCCUUACACCCUGGGCUACACACGUGCUACAAUGGCGGUGACAAUGGGCAGCGACCACGCGAGUGGAUGCGAAUCCCAAAAAACCGUCCCAGUUCAGAUUGCACUCUGCAACUCGAGUGCAUGAAGGCGGAAUCGCUAGUAAUCGCAGAACAGCAGGCUGCGGUGAAUACGUUCCCGGGCCUUGUACACACCGCCCGUCACACCAUGGGAGUUGGUUCUACCUGAAGACGGUGCGCUAACCGCAAGGAGGCAGCCGGCCACGGUAGGGUCAGCGACUGGGGUGAAGUCGUAACAAGGUAACCGUA